Molecule: ribosomal RNA, 627 nt
Filed under: Escherichia coli
Lineage: Bacteria; Pseudomonadati; Pseudomonadota; Gammaproteobacteria; Enterobacterales; Enterobacteriaceae
Description: partial 23S ribosomal RNA
Rfam family: Bacterial large subunit ribosomal RNA
Source: RNAcentral
UAGCUCACUGGUCGAGUCGGCCUGCGCGGAAGAUGUAACGGGGCUAAACCAUGCACCGAAGCUGCGGCAGCGACACUAUGUGUUGUUGGGUAGGGGAGCGUUCUGUAAGCCUGUGAAGGUGUACUGUGAGGUAUGCUGGAGGUAUCAGAAGUGCGAAUGCUGACAUAAGUAACGAUAAAGCGGGUGAAAAGCCCGCUCGCCGGAAGACCAAGGGUUCCUGUCCAACGUUAAUCGGGGCAGGGUGAGUCGACCCCUAAGGCGAGGCCGAAAGGCGUAGUCGAUGGGAAACAGGUUAAUAUUCCUGUACUUGGUGUUACUGCGAAGGGGGGACGGAGAAGGCUAUGUUGGCCGGGCGACGGUUGUCCCGGUUUAAGCGUGUAGGCUGGUUUUCCAGGCAAAUCCGGAAAAUCAAGGCUGAGGCGUGAUGACGAGGCACUACGGUGCUGAAGCAACAAAUGCCCUGCUUCCAGGAAAAGCCUCUAAGCAUCAGGUAACAUCAAAUCGUACCCCAAACCGACACAGGUGGUCAGGUAGAGAAUACCAAGGCGCUUGAGAGAACUCGGGUGAAGGAACUAGGCAAAAUGGUGCCGUAACUUCGGGAGAAGGCACGCUGAUAUGUAGGUGAAG